This 503-nucleotide ribosomal RNA is filed under the name uncultured Glomus. Its description in RNAcentral is "SSU rRNA". It matches the Rfam family "Eukaryotic small subunit ribosomal RNA", at positions 569 to 1078 of the family's 1831-position model. The record is from RNAcentral. Lineage: Eukaryota; Fungi; Glomeromycota; Glomeromycetes; Glomerales; Glomeraceae.
AGCAGCCGCGGUAAUUCCAGCUCCAAUAGCGUAUAUUAAAGUUGUUGCAGUUAAAAAGCUCGUAGUUGAAUUUCGGGACCAAUAUGUCGGUCGUGCCUCGGUACGUACUGGCAUCGUUGGUUUCUCCCUUCUGACGAACCAUGAUGUCAUUUAUUUGGUGUCGUGGGGAAUCAGGACUGUUACUUUGAAAAAAUUAGAGUGUUUAAAGCAGGCUCACGCUUGAAUACAUUAGCAUGGAAUAAUGAAAUAGGACGUUUGAUUCUAUUUUGUUGGUUUCUAGGAUCGACGUAAUGAUUAAUAGGGAUAGUUGGGGGCAUUAGUAUUCAAUUGUCAGAGGUGAAAUUCUUGGAUUUAUUGAAGACUAACUACUGCGAAAGCAUUUGCCAAGGAUGUUUUCAUUAAUCAGGAACGAAAGUUAGGGGAUCGAAGACGAUCAGAUACCGUCGUAGUCUUAACCAUAAACUAUGCCGACUAGGGAUCGGACGAUGUUAUUUUUUGACUCG